RNAcentral lists this long non-coding RNA (8159 nucleotides) under Brassica napus (rape). RNAcentral describes it as "long non-coding RNA (BNAP_LNC024209)". The record is from RNAcentral. Lineage: Eukaryota; Viridiplantae; Streptophyta; Magnoliopsida; Brassicales; Brassicaceae.
UCAUUAAAGUCACCUUAUAUUAGAGGAAACAAAUUUGUUAUCUAAGAAAAACAAUGUCUUUACUAAAUAUAAACACAAAUAUACACAUAUAUAUACAUAAUUUUGUAGCCAUUGUUUUUCCUAUAUCUAGUAAAAUAAUUCUUUCCUGAUCAGUUGUAACAAAGCAAUUUCAACCUUUUUUUACUUCACAAUAUCUUUAAAAAUGUCUCAUUUUAUUCCAACAACAUAUGUCAUAUUUCUUGUUGUUUGUUUUAUGUGUUUUGAACCUUGCGCCCAUGCAAGAAAUUUUAAUUCUCCGGGCAUCGAAAAUGUCAAUCCAUUCACAUCAACAAUGAAAGUCGCAGAAGAAAACAUUAAGAAGAAUGUUCCUAAAAGAGAAAAUGGUUAUACAACGGCUAGUAUAAUCAAUGGAAAUUAUGCAAGUGGACCCGAUCCGAGUGGAAGAGGACAUGGUAGACCGCCAACUCCACCACACCAUUGAAAAACAAUCGUUUGAACUGUACAUGGUGGAUAUAAUGUGAAUUAGAUAAUAAUAAUUAAUAAUUAAUAAAAAGUUGUGAAAGUUGGAUUUUGUUCAUAUAUAAUGAAAUCAAAUAAUAAACCAACUGAAAAUAAAGAAAACAAAUAAUACAUUUAACAAUAGAAAUUAUUGUGUAUAUUUUAUAGUUAUACAGAAAAUGUAAACAUCAAAAUUUAAUUUGAACCAAACGAAAAUUAAGAUUAUCAAAAUUGAUCAGAUAGUUGUUUUUUCCCCUCUCAAACUCAAUCAAACUGAAAUUAAUAUCAACCCAUUUUUAAAUUAAAACAAGGUUUAAAAACCUUUUCACUAGUUAAUAUAAAAUACCUAAAUUUUUAUAAAAAUAAUUAUGUUAAACUAGACACGAUUGGAAAAGGCAAAUCGAUUGCGAAAACAACAUAAAUAAUAUCCGUGGACAAAAUUAGAACACCAUAUGCAAACUUGUUCAUCAUUGUAUUUUUUUCUUGAUAUAUGUUGACUCACAAAUCUUAGAAAAAUCAUCGCUAAAAUUCUUCAGAGUAAGCCGAUCACUAUAUUGAUAACACCAUAUUUACCAGUUCAGAAAAACCUAUUACAAAAACUAAAUCAAAAUCUUUAGGGGGGCCGUAUAUAUAAAAUUGUGAUCAAUUAUUUAAGGAUAUUUUUUGUUCUCUUAGUUUCUUUUGUAUGAAUCCUCUAAACAUUAUUUGCAAAGUGAUUUUGACACAUGUCUUCUCUACAAUCAUUUUAACCAAAUAAAUAUGACAUGACAUGCUACAAUUAUGACAUGACUUAUGAUUAAAUGUGACAUGAACAAUUACAUUGAAUGCUUAUUUAUAUUUUUGGUAAACUCUUUAGAAUAUAUGGUAGUAAAUUAUACACUAUCAUUAAAGUAAAUCUAUUAAAGUAUGAUAUUAAAUAAUAUAACAAUAAAAUUAUAAUUAUAUUUUAUAAAUUCUGAAAUAUUAUUUAUUUCUAAUUUUGAAUAAUUAUACAAUUUAUAACUAAAAAGAAUUCCAAAAUCUUUUACAAUUUUUUUUUAAAUUAUAAUUUUUUUAUCGUAAUAUUAUUAGUUUCUAUUAUAUACCAUUUUACUAUUGAUAAUUAUAAAACUUGUAUAUCAUUUUUAUUAAUUUUAUACAAUUUAAUUUAAUAUAUUUUAUCCAAAAGAAAUAGAUAAAAUUCUAUUUCAUAUUAUUAUUUUAAAUAUAUACAUAUCUAUUCUUAGAUAUAAUUUAAAAUAAACAAAAUUAUUUAUUUUAACUUAAUUUUGUGUUCGGUUGAAAUAUUAUUAAGACAUAAUAAAAUUUAAAAAAUAAUAAACUUUAUUUUAAAAAUAAUUUUAAUUUAAAAUUUUUAUUCCUGCACAUUGGUGCUUUUAAACAGUAUAAACUUUAAUAAUUUAAUUUUAUCUUAACUAAUAAAGAAAUACAAUUCAUAUAACAAAAUUAUAGUCUAUUUUACAUAUCUUUAAUAUUUGAAUGGUUUAGGAGAUAAACUUUAAAUAAUAUAACUAGUAGUGUUUCUCUUCUUCCUCUACAAAUUAGCCCCUAAAGGGUUAUUAGACCCUUUUGGAGAUUUUAAAUAGAGGUUUUGGUUUUCACAUGCGAUGAGAUUGCGAUGCCGAAGGCGACUUAGAUCUAGGGUUUCGAUGCGGUUUCGGGGAUGGGAUGUGGGGAGACUAAGGGAUGGAUUGGAGCGGGUUUUUCCUGCUCUUUACCAGGAUAAUGGUUUUGGAAAGCAAAGGAAUGGGAACGGCGAUCCACAGCGAGAAGAUCGAACAAGAUUUAUGGGUUUUAAUGGAAACAGUGGAUUACUAGGGCCUGGGUUUUAGGGCGUUUUACGGAUAGAAUCGAUCUAUGGUUAUCUCAGGUCUCCAAUUGGUGAUCUCCCAGAUUUUCAAGGUAUGAUUUGGUGUCUAUUCUUUAGGAGAUCGUUUUGGAUUGGCUGGGGGUUUCCACAAAGGAAUCACCGAUAUUUGAGAAUUGAUGAUUGGAAAGCCAGGAUUUGGUUUCUUAUUCUCAUCAGAAUCAACGAGAUGUUCGAAGAUUUCUCAGAUGAAUUUCAAGAUCUCUCGGAAGGUGAGAUCGAGGAAAAGGACAAGGAAUGCAUUAAGAUACUGUCUGGUGAAGAUUUCUUAAGUGAGAAUGCUGAGGAAGAUAACCAGAUUGGAGAUAAGGAAGAUAAAGGCCCAGUUACGCUGGAAAUGGACAAAGAGCAGGGGGCUAGGAUGAUGCUGUUUAAGAGCCAGAAUGUAGCAGGUGGAACCAUGAAGAAGAGAAUGGUACAAGGGCUAGUAUCUCCUCGCAAACGUCCUUCGGCUAAAGCGGGUAUCCGACAAGGUGAUGGUUUUAAAAAGGUAGAAGAGACGGUCCCUCAAACCCUUUACCGAGCUCAUCAAAACCCUGAUUUUAUGGAUCGAUCCUUUGAAGAAGAGAAGCUAUGGUGGCAGAUACUGAGAGAGCAGAUGUCCAGAGGCUGUUACCGUUGGUUUCGAUCGGUCUGUUUGGUCAUCAGAAGAAACAUGGAAAAGCUGAAAUACUGGUCUUCAGUGGAGGAAAAUAUUUUGCUCUUGGCCUCAUUAAGCCACAAGUGAAGUCAAACCUUGUUCCUAUAUUGGAAUAAUAAAAAUGUAAGGUGUCCGAAUGGUGAAUGGGAGUUUAAUUGUGGUGUCUCAUUGGUCACAAUUAAUUACCAAAGGAAAGACAGAGAGUGUCGAGGAUAUGGGGUGAAUAAUCAGACUCAGGGGUACGUGAGUCUCACGUCAAAAUUAAUGAUGGUUUAUAAAUGUUUUGGACACUUAUGGUUUCUUCGUAUCCAGCUGUAUUGCUCAACAGAGCUAAUCAGUAUAAAUUUGAGGCGGCUUCUCUGCUGGAAUAAUAGAUGUAUGGGUCGUAAAUGGACGAUAAUUUAUCUUAGGGAGAUCUGGUACAAACAUAAACCAGACUUUUUAUAUUUAUCAGAAACGGAAAAAGAUACAACUUUUGUUGCUUUUUAUGCUUCUUGUAUCUCUCUUUGGAUAUGGUUGAUAUGGACUGUGAAAGACUUGGUAAUGUAUUGGUAUAUAUUUAGGUGGAGGGAGAGAUAUUGGUCUUUGGAUGACUUUGCAAGCAUAUCAAGUCUCCAUAUUAAUGCAGCCAAAUCGUCCUAAUAUGCACCAGGAAGUGGAAUAGCUAACGUAUGUGAGGAAGCUGAGAGAGCUGGAAUUGAAGUGGGACAGCUUCCGAUCAGAUACAUGGGUCUGCCAUUGACUUCAAAGGCUCUUUCUAAGGAGGAUUAUGAGCCUUUGAUAGAUAAAAUCAGAACUCGAAUUCUGUCGUGGACCAACAAGAGCUUAUCUUAUGCAGGGCGCUUGCAGCUUCUCAACUCAGUCAUCUCCAGCAUAGUGAGCUUCUGGAGCUCUGCUUUUAUAUAUUACCUAUGGCCUGUUUGGAUACAAUAGAGAGCCUCUGCAGUGCAUUUAUAUGGGCAGGAGAUCCUCAUCAGACCCAUAAGGCGAAAGUUAAAUGGGAAGACUUGUGUUAUCCAAAAUCAGAGGGAGGAUUGGGCAUUCGGAGACUGCAAGAUACUGUUAGAGUCUUUGCUCUUAGUCUGAUAUGGCAAUUUUUUAAUAUGUCAGACUCACUAUGGGUUUCAUGGGUUCAACAUUAUCUUUUGCAUCAUAGUUCAUUCUGGGAUGUUCGGGAAGAGACAACAGGUUCCUGGAUAUGGAGGAAACUCCUUAAGUUGUGUCCUCUGGCCUAUCAGUUCAUCAGGGUGGAAGUUGGUAAUGGUGAGAAAGCUUUCUUUUGGCAUGAUGAUUGGUUGCGAAUCAGGAAACUUAUUGAGUUAACAGGAGCAACUGGCACAAGGUAUCUAGGAAUAGUUCGUAGUGCUCGGGUGUGUGAUGCUGUGGCUCAAGGCCAAUGGAGAGUGAGGGGACAGAGAAGCCGGCAUUUCCAAGAUUUACAUGCCAAAAUACAAGCAGAACCGGUACCUAAUCAGUGCAUGGGAGAGGAUAGGUUUCUAUGGAGGCACGAAACAGAGGUUUAUAAGGACUCUUACUCAGCUUCAAGAACAUGGGAACAGCUUCGACGCAAGAAAGAAGAAGUGAAUUGGAGUAGUAGUGUGUGGUUCAAACAAGGUGUUCCUCGGUUUGCAUUUAUUGUGUUGCUUGCUAUUCAGAAUAGGCUCUCUACGGGAGACAGAAUGAGGCAGUGGAGAAUUCAGCAAGGUUGUGUCCUUUGUGGAGAGAGAGAUAAGACGCGCGAUCACUUGUUUUUCGCUUGUCCUUACUCUUAUACCGUCUGGGAUAGAGUCGUUGGCAAGCUUAUAGGACGGAGAAUCAAUCCUGACUGGUCUGAUAUGCUCAGAUAUAUUCGAAAUGGAGCAGCCAAUCUUAAGAAUCAGGUGCUCAUCAGUUUGCUCUUUCAAGUGGUGGUUUAUCAUAUCUGGCGUGAACGCAAUCUAAGGAGAAAUCAACAAGGCCAGAAGGGGACUGAGCUGAUGAUUAGUACAAUCAAUAAGACAGUAAAAAAUAGGAUCUCUUCUUUGGGUUAUGAGGCAGAUCAUAGAUUGGAAGGACUUCUUCGGAGAUGGUUCGAGGUUUUUGAUUGAGUUUGGAGCAUGGAGCUUGGACAAUGGAGCUAUUAACACAAAUUUUCUUUUCUUCCUACAUAUAGAUAUAAGAACCAUUAUUCCUUUUUAGGUUUCAUUCUUUGUAAAUCCUUUUAGUUGAUGAUCAAUAAAUCAAAAUUUCAUCAAAAAAAAAAAUAAUUCAUUAAGGAUAAGAAAGAGUUUAACCGCUUUAACUUAUGAUGUGGGAUCUCGAAUGCGAGAAAUCACUUCACAAAUAUAAAAAAAAAAUCAUCGUUAAUAUUCUUCAGAGUAAUCCGAUCACUAUAUUGAUAAUGCCAUAUCUACCAGUUCAGAAAAUUAUAUUUCAAAAACUAAAUCAAAAUCUUUAGGGGGGCCUAUAUAGAAAACUGCAAUCAAAUUUUUUAGGAUAUUCUUUGUUCUCUUAUUUUCUUUUGUAUGAAUUAACUAAUAAAGAAAUACAAUUCAUAAAACAAAAUCUUAGUCUAUUUUACAUAUCUUUAAUAUUUGAAUGGUUUAGGAGAUAAACUUUAAAUAAUAUGUCAAGUAUUUUCUAUAGUAAAUAAUUGAUAAGACUUAUAAUAAUAUGUCGAGUAUUUUCUAUAGGAAAUAAUUUACAUCUGGUUCUAAGGAUUGAAAGUUUUCAGUUAUUGGUAGAUUUUAGGACCUUCCAAAUCUUAUAGGGGUACGUAGUUUAUGUUCUUGAUCCUGUUUUCUCAAGAGUUUUUAAGUGCUAUUUUCUUCGGCUUAGAUUUUAACCAAAGUAAACAACCUCUGUCUUUUGAUUUUGGCUUGCACUGCAUUGAAAAUGGGUCUAAACCGGCUAGAAAUGAAAGUUGCAUUGAGCUUGUGAAUAAUAACAUUGUGGGUUUCGAAAGAUGUUAAAAUGUCUAAACCAUUUGCGCAAAUUACACUUUAGAAGAUAAAAUAACAAUUAACAAAAUAUAUCACUAUUCUUAUUAAAUAUAGACUUUGAAAAUGAGAUUUUGGUUGAUAUCCAAAGAACUUUCAAGAGGAAGUAUCAUAAAAUAUUAAAAAUAGAAAUCAAACGCAAACACUUUUUCAUAAAUUAAUGACCAUACAUUUUUUUUUUGUUCUGAAAUGGAAUGUUCUAAAUAUUAACAUUAAAAUUUACUUAAAAAUUUAAUAAAUUUAUUUGCUUGGAUAAUCAAUUUGUUUCUUUUGAGAUAAUGUGAUCUUCGAUAUAUUGAAUAAUUAAUUAUUCGCUUACAUUAUUUACAAAUUGAUUACUUAUGUCACAUGUUUACAAUCAUAUCAUGUCACAUGUUUACAAUCGUAUCAUAUCAUAGGUUUAAAAUCGUAUCACAAAACAAAUUUAACAAGCUUUAAAAAAAUGACAUAUUUUUAACAAAACAUGAUAAGUCAUAUUGUUUUAAUAAUUUUCAUUUUCUAGUAAAAUAAUUCUUACAAAAUCUCACUAUAGACACAUGAACUCCUUAGUUAAUUGUUUUUAAUUAGUUAAAUUAAUAAAGGAAAUCACAGUCCUCAAAAGAUUAACUAAAGUAAAAUUAAUUAAAUUAAUUAACUAAUAUUUUAAGAAUAUUAGUUUUGCUUAUUAGUUUUAGUUAAUUAAAUAACUGAAAACAUCUUACAAAAUAACUACUUAAAAUACUUAAAGCUUGCUAACUAAAAAUAAGUAUAUUAUUUAAUAUUACUAAAUUUUGUUUUAAUUAGUUAAGGAAAUAAUUGAAAUCAUAUUCCUAACAGUAAAAAAAACUAAUUAACACUUUAUUAUUUAAUUAAUUAAUAUUUCUAAUAUUUGUUUUACUAUUUAUCUUAAAUUAAUUAUGAAAAUCAUAUGUGUCUUGAAAUUUUGUAGGGAUUUGGUUUUUAAAAAUAACAUUCUUAAAAAAUUAUGACAUACCAUCUUUUUAAAAAAUAUGCCAAUUUUUAUAAAUCAUAUCAAGUUAUUUUGUGAUAAUGUUGUAAAGAUGACAUAUGAGCAAUCACUUUAAAAAUAAUAUUUAAGUAGAUAUUAAAUUUCAUUAAAGUCACCUUAUAUUAGAGGAAACAAAUUUGUUAUCUAAGAAAAACAAUGUCUUUACUAAAUAUAAACACAAAUAUACACAUAUAUAUACAUAAUUUUGUAGCCAUUGUUUUUCCUUUAUCUAGUAAAAUAAUUCUUUCCUGAUCAGUUGUAACAAAGCAAUUUCAACCUUUUUUUACUUCACAAUAUCUUUAAAAAUGUCUCAUUUUAUUCCAACAACAUAUGUCAUAUUUCUUGUUGUUUGUUUUAUGUUUUUUGAACCUUGCGCCCAUGCAAGAAAUUUUAAUUCUCCGGGCAUCGAAAAUGUCAAUCCAUUCACAUCAACAAUGAAAGUCGCAGAAGAAAACAUUAAGAAGAAUGUUCCUAAAAGAGAAAAUGGUUAUACAACGGCUAGUAUAAUCCAUGGAAAUUAUGCAAGUGGACCCGAUCCGAGUGGAAGAGGACAUGGUAGACCGCCAACUCCACCACACCAUUGAAAAACAAUCGUUUGAACUGUACAUGGUGGAUAUAAUGUGAAUUAGAUAAUAAUAAUUAAUAAUUAAUAAAAAGUUGUGAAAGUUGGAUUUUGUUCAUAUAUAAUGAAAUCAAAUAAUAAACCAACUGAAAAUAAAGAAAACAAAUAAUACAUUUAACAAUAGAAAUUAUUGUGUAUAUUUUAUAGUUAUACAGAAAAUGCAAACAUCAAAAUUUAAUUUGAACCAAACGAAAAUUAAGAUUAUCAAAAUUGAUCAGAUAGUUGUUUUUUCCCCUCUCAAACUCAAUCAAACUGAAAUUAAUAUCAACCCAUUUUUAAAUUAAAACAAGGUUUAAAAACCUUUUCACUAGUUAAUAUAAAAUACCUAAAUUUUUAUAAAAAUAAUUAUGUUAAACUAGACACGAUUGGAAAAGGCAAAUCGAUUGCGAAAACAACAUAAAUAAUAUCCGUGGACAAAAUUAGAACACCAUAUGCAAACUUGUUCAUCAUUGUAUUUUUUUCUUGAUAUAUGUUGAAUCACAAAUCUUAGAAAAAUCAUCGCUAAAAUUCUUCAGAGUAAGCCGAUCACUAUAUUGAUAACACCAUAUUUACCAGUUCAGAAAAAC